CAUGGUUUGAACAAAUAGUUUCAUAUCUUCACUGAACAUUGCUCUUCAAGACGCAAUAGAAGGAUGGAACGAUGACAUUUUCUUAUGGCGCCGCAUCACAUUAUCUGGGCUGCCUACAAAUCAUGACAGCCACAUGUCAGGAUUCUUGGUGCUCAAAUUUAUGCGGUGGUGGGAUGGUCAAGAAGUUGUCCGAGCAAAGGGCACGGUUGGUUACGCCCUGUGGAACAGAGCGGUGGUACACAUUCUUUCAUACAAGGAUAACGAAAGUGGAGCCAACAUCCCGCAAUUUGUUACAAAUUUGGUCAAACUACUAGGAUCAGAAUUUUUUGUUUGAAAAGGUUGCCGGUUUGGCUAUUUUGAACAAUACCAGUUUAUUGUUUUUUAUUGUGUACUCCUAUAAAAGAAACUAGCGGAUCUGAUUUGAAUGUUGGAUGCUAUAUUUACUAUCCCUAUAUUUUU
Non-coding RNA from Lolium perenne, 459 nucleotides. Lineage: Eukaryota; Viridiplantae; Streptophyta; Magnoliopsida; Poales; Poaceae. The record is from RefSeq and is a predicted model, not a curated record.